RNAcentral lists this ribosomal RNA (429 nucleotides) under Acidobacteriota bacterium. Its description in RNAcentral is "Acidobacteria bacterium partial 16S ribosomal RNA". It matches the Rfam family "Bacterial small subunit ribosomal RNA", at positions 355 to 776 of the family's 1533-position model. Lineage: Bacteria; Pseudomonadati; Acidobacteriota. The record is from RNAcentral.
UAGGGAAUCUUCCGCAAUGGGCGAAAGCCUGACGGAGCAAUGCCGCGUGAGUGAAGAAGGCCUUCGGGUCGUAAAACUCUGUUAUAAGAGAAGAACAAAUUGUAGAGUAACUGCUACAGUCUUGACGGUAUCUUAUCAGAAAGCCACGGCUAACUACGUGCCAGCAGCCGCGGUAAUACGUAGGUGGCAAGCGUUGUCCGGAUUUAUUGGGCGUAAAGGGAGCGCAGGUGGUUUCUUAAGUCUGAUGUGAAAGCCCACGGCUUAACCGUGGAGGGUCAUUGGAAACUGGGAAACUUGAGUACAGAAGAGGAAUGUGGAACUCCAUGUGUAGCGGUGGAAUGCGUAGAUAUAUGGAAGAACACCAGUGGCGAAGGCGACAUUCUGGUCUGUUACUGACACUGAGGCUCGAAAGCGUGGGGGGCAAACAGG